Long non-coding RNA from Oryzias melastigma (Indian medaka), 1557 nucleotides. RefSeq lists it as uncharacterized. The record is from RefSeq and is a predicted model, not a curated record. The transcript is spliced from 3 exons. NCBI's taxonomy places the organism in Eukaryota, Metazoa, Chordata, Actinopteri, Beloniformes, Adrianichthyidae.
CAGUAGUCUUAUACUGCUGGGUUUUGUUAUUUUAGUUUGCUGUCUUUGUUUACAGAGUAAAAAAAAAAAAAAGGUAUUUUUGAAGUUAACUAACCAAAUAAGUAAUCAAAACUUUUGAGAAUACUUUAGAUGUGAUUUUUUUUCAUUUUAUGUGUUAUUAAAUGUGCUUUUAAACUUAAUUUAGGAGUGUUCAGUGUGAAGUUUGUCUGAGCUGGGAGGAGAUGCCGACCUGAAGUCUGUGUGUGUCGUCCGGCCUCACUCCUCCUUCCUCCUCUUUUGUUAUUUUUCUCCAGAAGUGGCGUUUUCCUUGGCGGAGCGCCAGUCAUCACAAGAAUGGCAUGAAUUUGGAGACAUGUCAUCCAUGCGCUAGACACGCGUGCCGCUCCGCCUGUGGCGGUUUGAUUCCGUUUACGAGCACUUUCAGCUUCUUUCACUUUCUCUACCUCACAAUACCUGCCUUUCUGCCUGGCUGGUGGACUGACGUUUUGGCUCCAUUUCUGACAUUUGUUGUUUUUUUUUUUGCUAUUUCCUGUCCCGCUCACCACACCUGUCCAAGCUACUAAUCACAACUUCUGACAUGAGCCACCGUAUAAUUUAAAAUCCACUCCUCUUUUUCUGUUUCAUUCUCUCUCUUUGCCCUGAGUCAUCUCAUUCAUCACCUUCUAUUCAACUCUCCUCUCCGCCAACUCCUCCUCUUCCUGCCUAAUGCCUCAAUCUGAACCCGACUCACUUUUUUUUUAUUACUUUAAGGCUCCCUGUGAAUGACAGAAAGGCCUCUUGUAGCCGGAUUGCUCUUUGCUCGUGUGUGGGUGUAUUUUUCUAACCUGCCUGGUUAAUUGGACGUUGAGAAUUACAUUCUUAGAAUUGCAAAAUGAUGAGCCGACUUUCCAAGACGUGAUAAUGACUGCAACAAAAGCGCACAGAAAUGCGAUUUGUCCCCACAAAGGUCAAGAAUAACAAGCCUGUUGACUGACCUUGCCACUUGUUUGCUGUUUGUACAAGGAAGUGCGUUAAGGUGAAUCACAGGAAACUUGGAUUUCACAAGACGCUGAACCUGAUUGGAGAAUUAAGUCAGCGGAGUUUGAAAACUGGAACACAGGAAUGUUCCAGGCUGGCGGCGCCUCUGGGGGCCUCAGGUUGCUUUAACCCUGCAAUUUCCAGACUUGAGUCUGUACCUGCCUCCAGCCAUUUCUCAUAGAGGGACUUAAAGCGACGACUUGUUUCUUUUACGGGUUUGAUCCAUUUUCAAGUUGAUUUCAGGUGUAAAUCUGAAUGGAUGUCAGAGUUACACCUUGUCCACCACCCACCGAGUCCACCAACUGUCUCCCCUCAACGGCUGGAUGAUCCCCUGUCGACACGUCAAGAGUUAUUAUGGUGGUUUCAGGUCAGAGAGGAAUGUUGUUGUACUCCACAACAGAUGGUUUUCUGAAUCCAGACUUAACCACCCACACAGAUGAGAGGAAAACAGUUUCAGUGCAUUCAUUGAAUCGAUUUAUUAUUAGUUCACUUUUUAGUUUAAUUCCACUUGAAACAAACUGAAUCGAAUUGAAUCAAAUC